CGAAAGCGGUGCUAAUACCGAAUGUCGUCACAGGGACCGUGGUCCCUGGGAUGAAAUGUGACCUCUCCAUGGAAGUUGCCGUUCGGGGAGGGGCUCGCGUACCAUUAGCUUGUUGGUGGGGUAAUGGCCUACCAAUGCUACGAUGGUUAGCUGGUCUGAGAGGAUGAUCAGCCACACUGGCACUGAAACACGGGCCAGACUCCUACGGGAGGCAGCAGUGAGGAAUUUUGCGCGAUGGGGGAAACCCUGACGCAGCAACGCCGCGUGAGUGAAGAAUGCUUUCGGGUCGUAAAGCUCUGUCAAGUGGGAAAAACGUCUUCCCGUUAACAGCGGGAAGGCCUGAUGGUACCACUGGAGGAAGCACCGGCUAACUCCGUGCCAGCAGCCGCGGUAAUACGGAGGGUGCAAGCGUUGUUCGGAAUUACUGGGCGUAAAGAGCGUGUAGGCGGCAAGGUAAGUCAGGCGUGAAAGCCCUGGGCUUAACCCGGGAAGUGCGUUUGAAACUGCCUCGCUCGAGUAUGGGAGAGGAGAGUGGAAUUCCCGGUGUAGAGGUGAAAUUCGUAGAUAUCGGGAGGAACACCCGUGGCGAAGGCGACUCUCUGGACCAAUACUGACGCUGAGACGCGAAAGCGUGGGGAGCAAACAGGAUUAGAUACCCUGGUAGUCCACGCCGUAAACGAUUAGCACUAAGGUGUAGCGGGGUU
Molecule: ribosomal RNA, 704 nt
Filed under: uncultured organism
Description: bacterial SSU rRNA
Rfam family: Bacterial small subunit ribosomal RNA
Source: RNAcentral